Molecule: transfer RNA, 88 nt
Filed under: Chromobacterium sp. LK11
Lineage: Bacteria; Pseudomonadati; Pseudomonadota; Betaproteobacteria; Neisseriales; Chromobacteriaceae
Also listed under: 1 other name
Description: tRNA-Ser
Rfam family: tRNA
About the family: Transfer RNA (tRNA) molecules are approximately 80 nucleotides in length.
Source: RNAcentral
GGAAGCGUGGCCGAGUGGUUUAAGGCACUGGUCUUGAAAACCAGCGAUGGGAAACCAUCCGUGGGUUCGAAUCCCACCGCUUCCGCCA